Molecule: long non-coding RNA, 1180 nt
Organism: Manis pentadactyla (Chinese pangolin)
Lineage: Eukaryota; Metazoa; Chordata; Mammalia; Pholidota; Manidae
Exons: 3
Source: RefSeq, a predicted model, not a curated record
GGGGCAGUCUGGCGCCCAACGUGAGGCUCGACGGGACUCCUGCUGAAACGUCUACUCGUAGCCCUGGCCAGGCAUUCAUUUGAGUCAUCGCACGGGUUGUUUCCUGAUGCCGACUCUGCAUUGAGGAUCACUGCGGCUCACCCGUCCAUAAUACAGAUCCUCGGGAGAAAGAAAAACAUUCAUCAUCAUCAGACAAGCUUUACAGGAGAAAUGCUGCUUCUACGCUAACAAAUCAGGCAUCGUCCAGGACAAGAUAAAAACCCUCCAAGACGACCUCAAGAAAAGAAGAAAAGAGUUGCAUGACAAUCCCCUUUGGACUGGAUUAAAUGGACUUCUCCCUUACCUUCUCCCCAUUUUAGCCCCGCUCCUAGGAUUGCUAUUAAUACUAUCUUUUGGCCCCUGGGCUUUUAAGAGACAACGUUAAUCAAACAGCAAGUUGAUUCUUUAAUAGCAAAACCUAUUCAAGUGCACUAUCAUCGCCUUGAACUUAUAGACCAAGGUUUUGAUUCAGCUGCACUAACUUAUGUGCAGUUUAAAGCCUACGACUGAGCUACAUCAAGGCUAUUUCGCCCUGUUCCUUGACACAAAUCUCAGGCGACUAGACGGGUAGUCAAUGAUGGGUAAAUAAGAGGAUAUACCUGGAAAAUACAGGGCAAGACGUAAGACCUCUGAUCAAAAGGGCCGAUGUAAUGCUGGGGCAAGCUCCCUUAAAAGAUACCAGGCCGACUCACAAGAGGCAAGCUCCUGGGAACACUGGCCAGGUAUAAGACCUAAAAAACCUAAGACAGGCACUGUCUUCCCAGAGAUAAGUAGCUCAAAGUAAUACUCCCAUCCCUUCUAAUAAACAGAAAAGGAGGAGAUGUUGGAGACUGUCUAGGCCUCACUGCUGGUGCAAAAACAGAAGCAAAUACUUUACUUCCUCUUACAGAUCUAAUUUUCCGAAUCUAGAGUUUCGUCCCCACCCACAAAAUGGCGAACUCCCCGCUUCUCUUCCGGGUCCUCUGCUCCCGCCGGUGCCAGCCAAGGCCGCCCAAUCACCCCUCUACACCUUCCCGCCGGCGCCACCUAAGGUCCAAUUAUCUUCUGACCCACCCCUUCCUUGCUAACCUGUAUAAAUUGAGCCUGCAAAUAAACUGUGCCAGCUAGAUCAGACAUCCUGUCUUGCUGGUCGUUCUUUGUG